This 339-nucleotide unclassified non-coding RNA is filed under the name soil metagenome. Its description in RNAcentral is "partial contains 5.8S ribosomal RNA, internal transcribed spacer 2, and large subunit ribosomal RNA". The stretch from base 1 to 120 matches the Rfam family "5.8S ribosomal RNA", at positions 35 to 154 of the family's 154-position model. The record is from RNAcentral.
GAUGAAGAACGUAGCGAAAUGCGAUACGUAGUGUGAAUUGCAGAAUUCAGUGAAUCAUCGAAUCUUUGAACGCACAUUGCACCUCUCGGUAUUCCGGGAGGUAUGCCUGUUCGAGCGUCAUUUGUACCCUCAAGCUCUGCUUGGUGUCGGGUGUUUGUUCCGCCUCUGUGUGUGAACUCGCCUCAAAACAAUUGGCAGCCGGCGUACUUGUUUCGGAGCGCAGCACAUUUUGCGAUCCAGAUCAACGUACAGCGGCAUCCAAGAAGCCUUAUUUAACGCUCUUGACCUCGGAUCAGGUAGGGAUACCCGCUGAACUUAAGCAUAUCAAUAAGCGGAGGA